This 207-nucleotide ribosomal RNA is filed under the name uncultured bacterium. Its description in RNAcentral is "partial 16S ribosomal RNA". It matches the Rfam family "Bacterial small subunit ribosomal RNA", at positions 568 to 774 of the family's 1533-position model. The record is from RNAcentral.
CUCGUAGGCGGUUCGUCGCGUCCGGUGUGAAAGUCCAUCGCUUAACGGUGGAUCCGCGCCGGGUACGGGCGGGCUUGAGUGCGGUAGGGGAGACUGGAAUUCCCGGUGUAACGGUGGAAUGUGUAGAUAUCGGGAGGAACAUCGGUGGCGAAGGCGGGUAACUGGACUGCAACUGACGCUGAGGCGCGAAAGUGUGGGGAGCAAACA